This 1045-nucleotide small RNA is filed under the name Pan troglodytes (chimpanzee). RNAcentral describes it as "processed transcript". The record is from RNAcentral. Lineage: Eukaryota; Metazoa; Chordata; Mammalia; Primates; Hominidae.
CCGAGGGCGGGACUGGAACCCUCAGCUCUCAGGAGGCGCGGUCCGGGCGACAAAAGGUGCAGCUCUGUCAUUUCCACUCUGCUCUGCUGCACAGCAGGCAGAAGCCCUGGCCGUCCCCUGCUGCGUUCUUCAGGAGAAACGUCAGGGGCCUUCCUCCAAGGUUCUCGAGCCCCACACCCCUGUGGAGGAAGGUGCUCUCCACCGCGGUAGUGGGGGCGCCCCUGCUCCUCGGAGCCCGCUAUGUCAUGGCAGAGGCGCGGGAGAAGAGGAGGAUGCGGCUCGUGGUGGAUGGCAUGGGGCGCUUUGGCAGGUCUCUGAAGGUCGGCCUGCAGAUCUCCCUGGACUACUGGUGGUGCACCAAUGUUGUCCUUCGAGGGGUGGAAGAGCCCAGGCUACUUGGAGGUGAUGUCUGCGUGUCACCAGCGGGCGGCUGAUGCCCUGGUGGCAGGGGCCAUCAGCAACGGGGGCCUCUACGUGAAGCUGGGCCAGGGGCUGUGCUCCUUCAACCACCUGCUUCCCCCCGAGUAUACCCGGACCCUGCGCGUGCUAGAGGACAGGGCCCUCAAGCGGGGCUUCCAGGAGGUGAGUGUGCGCUCAGGCCGAGGGAGGUGGGGCCUCCAGCAGUGGCCCCAGGCUGCUCUGAGCACCCGUCCUUCCAGGUGGACGAGUUGUUCCUUGAGGACUUCCAGGCCCUCCCCCACGAGCUCUUCCAGGAGUUUGACUACCAGCCAAUUGCUGCCGCCAGCCUGGCACAGGUGCACAGAGCCAAGCUGCACGAUGGCACCAGCGUGGCCGUGAAGGUGCAGUACAUCGACCUGCGGGACCGCUUUGAUGGGGACAUCCACACCCUGGAGCUCCUGCUGCGGCUCGUUGAGGUCAUGCACCCCAGCUUUGGCUUCAGCUGGGUCCUCCAGGACCUGAAGGGGACCCUGGCCCAGGAGCUGGACUUCGAGAAUGAGGGCCGCAACGCAGAGCGCUGUGCGCGGGAGCUGGCGCACUUCCCCUACGUCGUGGUGCCCCGCGUGCACUGGGACAAGUCCAGCAA